GACAAGUUGGCCGAGUGGCGAUGGACUGCUAAUCCAUUGUGCUAUGCACGCGUGGGUUUGAAUUCUAUCUUUGUCG
This is a non-coding RNA of Danio rerio (zebrafish), 76 nucleotides long. NCBI's taxonomy places the organism in Eukaryota, Metazoa, Chordata, Actinopteri, Cypriniformes, Danionidae. The record is from Rfam.